Columba livia (rock pigeon) is the source of this 314-nucleotide long non-coding RNA. RefSeq lists it as uncharacterized. Lineage: Eukaryota; Metazoa; Chordata; Aves; Columbiformes; Columbidae. The transcript is spliced from 3 exons. The record is from RefSeq and is a predicted model, not a curated record.
GUAAUGUUAACUUAUGGCUUCCUGCAGGUGUUUGUCAGGCAUCUUUAAUCUAGAGAAAGAAGCACACAGAAGAACUGCGUAUUUACUAGACUGUUAACAAAAGAACAACGCUUUUAAAUGGCUACUUCACCUGUGCCCUGAACUUCCUGUGCUGAGCUUACUGUGAUUGAUUUUACAGGUUAGGUGUUUUUCAAGUAAAAGUCCUGCAUGAAUGAAGCAAGUGGAUCAGCACCAGUGAGUUCAAGCAAUUUCAGUUUCUGAUUUCCUCCAUAUGAAAAGAUGUAUCCACGUACCUUGAAGUUUGUUGCUUGAGG